AACGAACGCUGGCGGCAGGCUUAACACAUGCAAGUCGAGCGCAUCCUUCGGGGUGAGCGGCGGACGGGUGAGUAACGCGUGGGAACGUGCCCUCUUCUACGGAAUAGCCUCGGGAAACUGAGAGUAAUGCCGUAUACGCCCGCAAGGGGAAAGAUUUAUCGGAGGAGGAUCGGCCCGCGUUGGAUUAGGUAGUUGGUGGGGUAACGGCCUACCAAGCCGACGAUCCAUAGCUGGUUUGAGAGGAUGAUCAGCCACACUGGGACUGAGACACGGCCCAGACUCCUACGGGAGGCAUCAGUGGGGAAUCUUGGACAAUGGGGGCAACCCUGAUCCAGCCAUGCCGCGUGAUCGAUGAAGGCCUUAGGGUUGUAAAGAUCUUUCAGCUGGGAAGAUAAUGACGGUACCAGCAGAAGAAGCCCCGGCUAACUCCGUG
Molecule: ribosomal RNA, 433 nt
Filed under: uncultured bacterium
Lineage: Bacteria
Description: partial 16S ribosomal RNA
Rfam family: Bacterial small subunit ribosomal RNA
Source: RNAcentral